Molecule: ribosomal RNA, 531 nt
Filed under: Bifidobacterium breve
Lineage: Bacteria; Bacillati; Actinomycetota; Actinomycetes; Bifidobacteriales; Bifidobacteriaceae
Description: bacterial SSU rRNA
Rfam family: Bacterial small subunit ribosomal RNA
Source: RNAcentral
GGUGGUAAUGCCGGAUGCUCCAUCACACCGCAUGGUGUGUUGGGAAAGCCUUUGCGGCAUGGGAUGGGGUCGCGUCCUAUCAGCUUGAUGGCGGGGUAACGGCCCACCAUGGCUUCGACGGGUAGCCGGCCUGAGAGGGCGACCGGCCACAUUGGGACUGAGAUACGGCCCAGACUCCUACGGGAGGCAGCAGUGGGGAAUAUUGCACAAUGGGCGCAAGCCUGAUGCAGCGACGCCGCGUGAGGGAUGGAGGCCUUCGGGUUGUAAACCUCUUUUGUUAGGGAGCAAGGCACUUUGUGUUGAGUGUACCUUUCGAAUAAGCACCGGCUAACUACGUGCCAGCAGCCGCGGUAAUACGUAGGGUGCAAGCGUUAUCCGGAAUUAUUGGGCGUAAAGGGCUCGUAGGCGGUUCGUCGCGUCCGGUGUGAAAGUCCAUCGCUUAACGGUGGAUCCGCGCCGGGUACGGGCGGGCUUGAGUGCGGUAGGGGAGACUGGAAUUCCCGGUGUAACGGUGGAAUGUGUAGAUAUCGG